AGAGUUUGAUCAUGGCUCAGAACGUACGCUGGCGGCACGCCUAACACAUGCAAGUCGAACGAAGUAGCAAUACUUAGUGGCAGACGGGUGAGUAACAUGUAGGUAUCUGCCCUUUGGCCUGGAAUAACACGAGGAAACUUGUGCUAAUACCGGAUAAGUCUUUACGGAGAAAGCUUUAUGCACCAUUGGAUGANCCUGCACUUGAUUAGUUUGUUGGUGGGGUAAUGNCCUACCAAGACUGUGAUCAAUAGCUGAUUUGAGAGGAUGAUCAGCCACAUUGGGACUGAGACACGGCCCAAACUCCUACGGGAGNCANCAGUGGGGAAUCUUGCACAAUGGAGGAAACUC
Molecule: ribosomal RNA, 348 nt
Filed under: uncultured bacterium
Lineage: Bacteria
Description: bacterial SSU rRNA
Rfam family: Bacterial small subunit ribosomal RNA
Source: RNAcentral